This is a non-coding RNA of Lepisosteus oculatus (spotted gar), 773 nucleotides long. NCBI's taxonomy places the organism in Eukaryota, Metazoa, Chordata, Actinopteri, Semionotiformes, Lepisosteidae. The record is from RefSeq and is a predicted model, not a curated record.
CCGCGCUGUAAGCCACCUGAGCACACUCCCUGAAUCCCGGCUUGUCGGCUCUCCAGCAUUGGUUUGAAAAAUGGACAUCCAGACAAUUGUCACUAUAUGUACUCGGGCACAGGAGAAGAUUGGACACUCACUGAACAAUCAGAAAUCUUUCACCAGCACUCUGCAUAUGCAAGUACUGCAAGCAUGUCCACAAUCCGGCAUGCAGUGCAAGCAGUGAUGUGAGUCGUCCACCAUUCUGGAUGUCAGAAUCCAGGGUUGCAAUCAGGGUCUUCUUAUCACAACUUGGCCAAGACGAUUGCACCAGAGGAGGACAGAAAAAGCUAUGAUAUGAUACACAUAUGAUGAAAUACGACAAUGAUAUUGGGUAGAUGCAGGGAAAUGUAUGUUUAGACCAAACCAGAUGGUAGAAGAAUAUCUAGGAGGGAGCAAAGAAAACUUUGAGAUGCAAAGUGAAAAGAGAGAGCACCAAAGAGAGCUCACCAUUUCCACAUUGGCAGCGUACAAGCAGAUAUUUCCAUAACCAUCUCCUGCUCAAAGAUCCUGAAAGUGUGUGGAUCCUUUAUUGAUCUUAUGAGUCACCUAGGAGUUCAUAGAAGUCAUUCCUACCAGAUUUUCAAUCAUAAAAUCAGAAGGCGUAUUGCAAAAUCAAGCAUAUGGCAGUUGUACUAUAUUUAAAAAAUAAGGUAUUACAGUUUGGGUUAUGUUUGUUUUUUAGUGGUCUUUUAAAAUUUCUGCUUUGCAUAAGAAAAUAAUCACAUAAGAAACAUGAUAGA